CUCAGGGUAGUAGAAUUAAAUACGUCGGAGUUAAGGCCCGAAAAUGGGUUAUAACCCUCUUGAGA
Molecule: transfer RNA, 65 nt
Filed under: Nuttallia olivacea
Lineage: Eukaryota; Metazoa; Mollusca; Bivalvia; Cardiida; Psammobiidae
Description: tRNA-Leu
Source: RNAcentral